UCCCAGGACCCCGAGAUCAUGAUCUGAGCCGAAGGCAGCGGCUCAACCCACUGAGCCACCCAGGCGCCCCACCCUGGUGGGUUCUUAAAUGUGCUUUCUAAAUGGCGUUUUCUGUUUCAGUAGGUGUGUCAUCUUUGUCACAUGCAGCCACUGGAUGCGUUGUUCCAUUAACUCAGGGAUUAGGUGUGUUUUGCCAGAUUCUCCUUAAACAUCAGGAGCUGAAAAAAGAUUUAAAGGUGGGGGAAGAAAAAGAGGAAAAAUAACUCCCCAUCUCUGCAGACCUUCAGCACUUAGCCAAGCUGGUUCCUGUCCUGCCCUAGCCUUCACAUCGUUUCUGUGGAGCCUGGAGGCCCAUCCGAGGUGAACGUGUCCAGACGUCUCUAAGCCUGUGUCCACCCUAGGCACAGGUGAUUUCCUGGCACGCAUGGAAGCUUCUAGAAGCUUAUGCCCAUACAGCUCUCCUUUUCAGCCUCCUCCUUCCCAGGUGUGUCAGUCUGCUGUUCACCAUGACAGCCAUUCCUGGCCCCUGCUGGCUUAUAGCCGGGACCUGGGUCUUUGCGUGCUUGUGGCACAAGCCAUCUGGGAAGCUGCACAGACCUGUGACUGACGGGAGUCCAGGAGACCAGGGGAAGCCGCACAGCCCUCCUCCAGACAGUGGUCCAGCUGGGACACCCACUCUGCAGCUGAGAACAAGGUCUGUCACUCGGCCCUGGCCCAGGGACUUGCCUGCACCGCAGGCCGUCACCACGUGGCAGCUGAUCUGAGGUGUGUGGGGUUGGGGGUGGCAGGUGUAAGUCGGGAGCUCUGCGGCUGCACAGUGUGCCUCCCUCACAUGCCUCCCCUGCUUUGGACAACAGUCCUGAGACCUGCAGAGGUCACCCGCUCAUCAGUUGUUUCUACCAGCGGCAGGGGUGGGGGGGUGGAACCCGGAACCCUCCGUGUCCCGCCUCUGCCACACCUCCCGUCAGUUCUGGAGCACGUCCUACUGACCAGUGUUCUGUGCUGUGAGCGCUCCUGAGCAGCCCUGGUGCCAUCUGGUGGAGAAGAAUAUUUAGAAAUCAAGAUCUGAGCGCAUACUUUCCUAAAGAUAAAAAUACUACAUGCUUUUGUAGGAACUUAAAAUUUGUAAACUGUGCUAGUAUUUUUUGUUAGGAUUGCUGUGGAUUCUGCGAGAUCUCUGGUUACAUUACAGAAGUCUCGAGUGGGCCGCCCUCUCUCUCCCCACGACGUACUGUUGUCGGCUAGCAGGAGCAUGAGGUUUGAGAGGGACACAGUCAUUGACUGCAGUUUAGAAGAAAUGAUGGCACUUCACUUUUUGUUGGCGAAUUCUGUAUCCGCGUCUGACCGGCUGCCAGGAUAGAAGACUGCUAUCUCAUGUACAAUUCCAGUCUAACAGGUGGUCCCCAGGAGGUAGGGUAGCCCCUUCCAGGUGGUUCUCCAGAGGGAAAGGGUCCCCUUUAUCCCAUUGCUUCUCUGUCCCCUAGAAAGGAGUCAGCGAGAGACAGUCGUGGGCCACAUUUGGCCCCUGCCUCUUUCAUAUGGCGUGGAAGCCACAAAUGGGCUCACAUUUGCAAGUAGUUUUUUAAAAAAGAUCGAGUAUUUUAUAGCUUAUGAAAUUCAAUGAGACUGAAAUUUGUGUCCCAUGUCAGGUUUAUUGGGACAGUUCCCACUAGAGGCAGGGCUGAGCGGUGGCAGAGGCUGUGCCCACAAAGCCCGAAGUGCUCCCAGCUGGCCCCUCCCAGGGCCCAUUGGCCAAGCCCAGCCCUCAAGUGUUGUCCUUGUUCUCAGGGUAGAAGCUGGCUUGGCACCAUGGUUCUUUCACAGCCAAAGGAGGGAGAAAGAGGCAGCAAAGGAGACAGUCCUUCUAGAAUGGGACUCAGAAGAUGACACAUCACCCUACUCACGCCCCGUGGACCCAACCUCAGCUAGCCGAAGCUGGGACGUCAGAACUGCCGUGGGGUGCUGGCUGGCACUGGACAGAAGGGGACACUGGUGCCCGGAGUAGCGCAGGCUGGUCCACUCGACGAGCUACGUGCAGAUACAGGCUCCGCGCGGCGCUGCAGGACAGCGAGCACCCCACGGCUUCAUCUGCGUUUCGCUCGCCUCUUCCUGGACCUAGACGGUCCCGCACUUCGUGCUGACAGCAUAGCUCUGUGCACACGUCUACGUGUGUACAGAAUGUCUCUGGGACACAAAAGCACAUCAGCAGUACCACUCCACAAGGCACACACAGGAAUUUUAAAAGGAUUUUCACAUGAAUUCUGCAAAUCAAGGACAGUACAGGUAGCAGCGGAAGGUCUAAUCCCUAGUUCCUGCUCCUCAGGAUGGCUUCAGCAGACCCAUGUAGAAGAGAAAGCCCACCCCCGACUGGGAGGAACCCCCUUCCUGAUGGACCCUCUCCUCUCGGCAUGUUAAUGCACCACUGAAGGGUCCGCCUCCAUCCAGAAACCCGUGUCUACUUACUGUAGGGACUUGGCCAUGGCGUGAGAAGAGGCUGCUCCGGGCAGGGGUGUGUUGUGUGCCCCCCGGCCCCCUCAGCUGGAUGGAGCCUGCGCCUGCUGUUGCAUGAAGACGCCGUGCUGGGCCAGAAGGUGCCGGGGACACAACCGUGCAGGGCAGGAGAGUGGAGGAGAUUCCAAGCCCCAGGUUCCCCAGCGGCUGCCUCUCCAGUGGCUCUGGCUGCUCACACCGCCCCCAGCAGCCCCCCAGUGCAGCCCCCGGCCCCACAAGCUGCUCUUUUAUGGCAGCCCCAGGGUUGGGCUCCGUCCGUUGGGCUCGAGUCAGCAGCCCAUGCUAGGUCAUCAGUUUGUUCCUCUAGGGAAGAAGAAAAACAGGGUCGUUAAAGCAGCAGCAGCCACUGAGCCCACGCAGAGACGUGACAUGAAAACACCCCGACACCUUCGCCGUGAUGAAUAAACCCUGUUACUACGUCGUCAGGGAUGCAGCUCGGGACCAGCUCUGUGCACCAGGCCCUUGCGUGCAUGGCUCCGUGAGGAAGAAUGUGUUACAUCACAUUCACUUUUUAAAUAUUUUACUUAAAAUGCAUACUGUGUAUUUAAGCUAUGAGGACAAACUGGGAAAUCUUUAUAGCUAUUAUUUCAACAAAUAAAUCAUGAAUAUAU
This is a long non-coding RNA of Neogale vison (American mink), 3122 nucleotides long. RefSeq lists it as uncharacterized. The transcript is spliced from 4 exons. Lineage: Eukaryota; Metazoa; Chordata; Mammalia; Carnivora; Mustelidae. The record is from RefSeq and is a predicted model, not a curated record.